This 560-nucleotide ribosomal RNA is filed under the name uncultured bacterium. RNAcentral describes it as "bacterial SSU rRNA". It matches the Rfam family "Bacterial small subunit ribosomal RNA", at positions 337 to 916 of the family's 1533-position model. The record is from RNAcentral.
UCCUACGGGAGGCAGCAGUGGGGGAUACUGCACAAUGGGGGAAACCCUGAUGCAGCGAUGCCGCGCGAAUGAUGAAGGCUUUCGAGUCGUAAAGUUCUGUUCUUAGGGAAGAUAGUGACGGUACCUAAGAAGAAAGCCCCGGCUAAAUACGUGCCAGCAGCCGCGGUAAUACGUAUGGGGCGAGCGUUAUCCGGAAUUAUUGGGCGUAAAGAGUUCGUAGGCGGUUUUCUAAGUCAGAAGUGAAAGGCAGUGGCUCAACCAUUGUAAGCUUUUGAAACUGGGAAACUUGAGUGUUGGAGAGGAAAGCGGAAUUCCUAGUGUAGCGGUGAAAUGCGUAGAUAUUAGGAGGAACACCAGUGGCGAAGGCGGCUUUCUGGACAAAUACUGACGCUGAGGAACGAAAGCGUGGGGAGCGAACAGGAUUAGAUACCCUGGUAGUCCACGCCGUAAACGAUGAGUGCUAGGUGUUGGGGUAGCGAUACUUCAGUGCCGCAGCUAACGCAUUAAGCACUCCGCCUGGGGAGUACGGUCGCAAGACUGAAACUCAAAUGAAUUGACGG